UGGGGAAUAUUGGACAAUGGGGGCAACCCUGAUCCAGCCAUGCCGCGUGAGUGAUGAAGGCCCUAGGGUUGUAAAGCUCUUUUGUGCGGGAAGAUAAUGACGGUACCGCAAGAAUAAGCCCCGGCUAACUUCGUGCCAGCAGCCGCGGUAAUACGAAGGGGGCUAGCGUUGCUCGGAAUCACUGGGCGUAAAGGGUGCGUAGGCGGGUUUCUAAGUCAGAGGUGAAAGCCUGGAGCUCAACUCCAGAACUGCCUUUGAUACUGGAAGUCUUGAGUAUGGCAGAGGUGAGUGGAACUGCGAGUGUAGAGGUGAAAUUCGUAGAUAUUCGCAAGAACACCAGUGGCGAAGGCGGCUCACUGGGCCAUUACUGACGCUGAGGCACGAAAGCGUGGGGAGCAAACAGGAUUAGAUACCCUGGUAGUCCACGCCGUAAACGAUGAGUGCCAGCCGUUAGUGGGUUUACUCACUAGUGGCGCAGCUAACGCUUUAAGCAUUCCGCCUGGGGAGUACGGUCGCAAGAUUAAAAACUC
Molecule: ribosomal RNA, 530 nt
Filed under: uncultured bacterium
Lineage: Bacteria
Description: partial 16S ribosomal RNA
Rfam family: Bacterial small subunit ribosomal RNA
Source: RNAcentral